UCAAAUUCAAAUAUCAAAAUACAAUCCUUCACUGAUCACUGGAUAAUUUGUUAAUGUAGCAUAUGUUUUAAUGUGUCAAAUUAUGGAUAAACUAUUUCUUUUAAAUCCAAUUUGAACAAAUUCAAUGAAAUAACUUAAAAUACAUAAGGGAAGUCUUUGUUUUAUCUAAUGUUAAAUUUUAUUUAUUGAAACUACAGAAAAAAUCAUUGCAGUAUUCUGACAAUUUGCAAUAAGCAACUGAUUUGUCCUUUUAUCAUAAUUAAGAGAAUAAGGACUGGAAAGACCAUCAAUUGCUGUUAGUAUUUCUUUGUGUUUUUGUCCAUCGGCAGAUAUAACUACUACAUUUGUGGAUGCAUGUCCUACUACGUAUACGUUACCAUCAUUGUCGACAGAUAUACCAAAUGGUCUCCUUAGGAUUUUGUUCUUAAAUGUCCAUUGUGCUGCACCCUGUAACCCAUAACAUAUCACAGAGUCGGUUUGGCAAUUUGCAUGGUAAAUUUUAUCACCAAAAUGUGCAACGUAACAAUAUGUUGGCAGUUGUAUGCAUUUGCAGACUAUUUCAUUUGUUGAGUUGUUAGCCGGAUCGAUCAAGUGUAUUCCUUUUACAAAUACAGAACAAAUCAAUUGUUUAUCUUUCACCGUUAUGCCAUAAGAAUAACUAUGAAGUGGUAUUUCUUUCUUUAUAUUUUUGUUUUGUAUGUCGAUAAUUGUUAUGCUUUGUCUCCCUGACUCUCCGGAUGUUACAGCUAGUGUGUUGUCCUCAAUGAUGUACGCUAUGUCAAAUGCAAGUGUUGGUGUUUGAACUUCAAAAUCUUUUGAGCCGUCAGUUUUGAAUAUUUUGACAAUAUUCGAAUCAUAAAACGUAAACGCCAUUCUUCCAUCUGGUAACAAACAACAACCCGUGGUAUUACAUCCCUUGAUAUCCACAGUUUUUUGCAGCUUUAUAUUGAUAUCUUCGACUGACUUACUUGAGACGCGUGGUACCAACAAUUGGGCUUGUUUGUUUUUCUUCCUUGAUAGGAUUACAUCAUAUGAUUUCCUCUCAAUCUUGACGUCUCCAAAUUCCUGGAUAUCUGUUACGAAUUUGUGUAAGACGGCACUGGGAUGAAAUGACAAUUCUAUAUUUUGUAAGUUGUCUCUGUCGACUAAAGAUUGUAGGAAUUUAUCAUUGCAGGAAACUUCAUUUUCAAAUUGGUUUAUAGAGAAAAACAUCUGAAAAUCUGUUGCGUGUUGUUUAAUUGUUUUUACAUUUUUUUGGUGUUCUGAAAUUUCGGCUCUCUUUCCAUCUAAUAAGGCAAUCAAUUGUCUUAUUUGGUCUGUUUCUUUUUUUUCAACUGUAUUCAAUGCUUCUAUUAUGGCAUCCUGUAUUUUGUCCAAAUGGUUGUUGAUUUUGGCCCGUGUUUCCUUGAUUUCCUUUUCAAUAUGCUGCUUUUUCUCGGAUAUUGUCUUUAUGUUGUUUUCUCGAUUCUGACGAAUUCUCUCUAUAUUUUCUGCCAUUUCUGAUAACGACUGUUCAAUUUCAUUUAAAGACUCCGAUGUUUUGGCUUUGUCGAUGAUGUUGGUUAAUCUGACGAAGUCUUUGCAAUCGAGGUGAUCUUCUACGACACAACCACCACAGCAGGGACAUUCAUGCUUUCUACAGUAAAUUGUGUACUUCUCAUUAUGUUUAUCACAGUUUUCGGUGAAUUUUUUAACAUCACUUGGUAAUUCCUGAUAUUCGGUUAUCGGCAUGGUAUCAUGAUUUCGCGAUGCUUUAGAAGCAGUAUGAUGUUUUAGGCAUUGUGGACAUAAACCUUCUUCACAUUCUGUGCACCAGACUAUAGAUGGUUUGGUGAUAUGCUGGAUAUCACAUGGACCGCAAGGAGGUAUUGAUGAUGCCAUGGUAAAUACAACUAAAAAUAAAAGGAAUUUAUUUAGAUAUAGUUAU
Molecule: long non-coding RNA, 1927 nt
Filed under: Mytilus galloprovincialis (Mediterranean mussel)
Lineage: Eukaryota; Metazoa; Mollusca; Bivalvia; Mytilida; Mytilidae
Source: RNAcentral